Choloepus hoffmanni (Hoffmann's two-fingered sloth) is the source of this 107-nucleotide small nuclear RNA. Lineage: Eukaryota; Metazoa; Chordata; Mammalia; Pilosa; Megalonychidae. The record is from Ensembl.
GUGCUCACUUUGGCAGCAGACAUACUAAAAUUGGAAUGAUACUUAGAAGGUUAGCAUGGCCCCUGCACAAGGACGGCAUGCACAUUCUGAAGCAGUCCAUAAUUUUU